Molecule: long non-coding RNA, 921 nt
Organism: Vitis vinifera (wine grape)
Lineage: Eukaryota; Viridiplantae; Streptophyta; Magnoliopsida; Vitales; Vitaceae
Exons: 2
Source: RefSeq, a predicted model, not a curated record
UAUUUUUCAGAUCAAGCAACAACUGCAUGGUUUGUUUCAAGGUUCCCUUGAUAUCGAUACUUUGGGACAAACACAAGAAUUUUCAACCCGUUCCCAUUUGUCAAUGUGGCGGCAUGAAAGCAUGGAUGGAUUAUCAACAAUAAGAAUAUGUGAUGCAAUUUAUGAUGGGCUUAAACGAAUCUUAUGCCAGGUGUGUGGCAGAUUUUGAUGCUUGACCCAUUACCCCUGGUUGCGAAGGUUUUCAAUCUUGUAAUUCAAGAAGAAUGACAACACACUAUUUGAUCCGGUCCCCUUGCUUUGUGUGAAUCCCUAGCAUUUAGCACUCCCUCAUCGUCUCCCUCUAUUGUAGCUUUCUUUUCUCAAAGUAAGCCCAAGUGUAAUCGCUCAAUUUGUUCUCAUUGUGGGCUCACAGGGCAUACUGUGGACCAUUGCUACAAGUUACAUGGGUACCCACUUGGGUAUAAGCCCAAACCCAUGGCCCAAUUAAGCUCCCUUCAAUCUACCAACAUUCCAUCAUUUUUCCCUGAGCCAUCAAAGGACACCCAUUUUUCUUUUUCAACUAUAAUUGCUACAACACCCGCACCGCUUUAUGGUUCUCUCUCCACAAAUCAAGUCUAGUAGCUCAUCGCCUACCACAGCUUGCAAUUUCAUCAUCGUUCCAUUGACUCACCUAAGCUUCAAUCGGGCAAUGGGCCCUUCUAUUUCUCACAUCUAUGGACCUCACUUAGAGCUUGAUGAUUGGGAAGGGUAGGAGACACAACAAUCUUUGCUUUCCAGAAUUAGGGAUUGUUGUUUGUAAUUCAAUGUUUUCAUGUUUGUAAUGUCUAAAAGUGAUGUUUGAAAUUUUAGACUUGGACAUUCAUCUCCUAUCAAAAUUCAAUUUCUUCAUAAUGAAUUUCAUAUCCCUAAUUCUUUAUUUAA